RNAcentral lists this transfer RNA (72 nucleotides) under Candidatus Parvarchaeum acidiphilum ARMAN-4. It matches the Rfam family "tRNA". From Rfam's summary of the family: Transfer RNA (tRNA) molecules are approximately 80 nucleotides in length. Their secondary structure includes four short double-helical elements and three loops (D, anti-codon, and T loops). The record is from Rfam by way of RNAcentral. Lineage: Archaea; Nanobdellati; Candidatus Parvarchaeota. RNAcentral also lists the same sequence under 3 other names.
AGCCCCGUAGUCUAGCGGCAAGGACAGCAGGCUCUGGACCUGCAAACACCGGUUCAAAUCCGAUCGGGGCUA